UACGGGGGGAGCAAGCGUUGUUCGGAUCUACUGGGCGUAAAGGGCGCGUAGGCGGCCACUGCAAGUCGGUUGUGAAAUCUCCGGGCUUAACCCGGAAAGGUCAAUCGAUACUGCAGGGCUAGAGUGCAGAAGGGGCAACUGGAAUUCUCGGUGUAGCGGUGAAAUGCGUAGAUAUCGAGAGGAACACCUGCGGCGAAGGCGGGUUGCUGGGCUGACACUGACGCUGAAGCGCGAAAGCUAGGGGAGCGAACGGG
RNAcentral lists this ribosomal RNA (254 nucleotides) under uncultured bacterium. RNAcentral describes it as "partial 16S ribosomal RNA". It matches the Rfam family "Bacterial small subunit ribosomal RNA", at positions 524 to 776 of the family's 1533-position model. The record is from RNAcentral.